CUACUAUCUGUUGCUCUCCCUCUCCAGCUAACUUUCUUCCUGUCCAUCUCUCUCUAUCUCUUUGGAUCUCAAUGGGAUGGUGCUGGCUAUAGCUGUCGCUCUCUCCCUCUCUGAUUCUCUUCAUCCCUUUUUUUCAUUGUCUUCCAUCAUCCCUCCAUCCUAAGGCUCUGGCUCCUCCGGCCGGUGCCCUGUCAUUUUUCCCGUGGGCGGCAGCGAGAUAUGAAGCGUCGCCAUGGGUUUCAUGGAAUUCUACUUGGAGAUUGACCCCGUGACCCUGAACCUCAUCAUCCUGGUGGCCAGCUACGCCAUCCUCCUCCUUGUCUUCCUCAUCUCCUGCAUCCUGUACGACUGCCAGGGGAAGGACCCCACCAAGGAGUACGCCCCCGCGCCCCCCGCACCCCCCAGCCAGUCGCCCAUACGCCUUGUGGUCAUGCAGAACUCUCCUGCCUCGUCUCGCUAUGAGCAGCAGAAUCAGAACAACAUGGCUGGUCCAGAACCCAGCAGAAAGCCAGAACCCAGCAGGAACCUGGAACCCAGCAGGAACCUGGAACCCAGCAGAAAGCCAGAACCCAGCAGGAACCUGGAACCCAGCAGGAAGCCAGAACCCAGCAGGAACUUGGAACCUAGAAGGAACCCAGAACCCAGCAGGAAGCCAGAACCCAGCAGGAACCCAGAACCCAGCAGGAAGCCAGAACCCAGCAGGAAGCCAGAACCCAGCAGGAACCCAGAACCCAGCAGGAAGCCAGAACUCAGCAGGAACCACUACGAGUACAACAGGAACCACUACGAGCCGCCGGCGCUGACGCCCACCCCUGACCUGGGGAGGGAGAAGAGGAGCACCCUGGUCUGAGAAGGAGAGAGGGAGGAGGUGGGGGAGUCCAUGACUUAAGAGAAGAGAGAUACUAAGUUCUGGAUUUGACACUGUGGAGGAGAGAGGGAGAAGGUGAGGGAGUCCAUGACUUAAGAGAAGAGAGAUACUAAGUUCUGGAUUUGACACUGUGGAGAGAGGGAGGAGAGGGGAGAUUCGGUUGUAUAGACAAGGCCUGGACUGGACUAGACUGGACUGGAUGUAAAUUGCUGCUGUUUCAUUUAGUAUUUUCUUUUUGCUCUGUCGAUUUUUUUUAUUUUGAUCGUUGAUGUAUGAUGUUGCUGAGAAGGGCAGCAGAUCAGUAUGGAGUCACCAGCACUCAGAAACCAGAGGACCUCUGACAUUAUGGAAUCACCCUCCUCUCUCUCCUGUUCACCCCAUCGCUACAUCGUUGGGCAUGACGAUGCCAAAGGACCAGUAGACGACACCCUGCCACACCUCACUAAGAAUGAACCGCAUUGGGAUCAGGUUCUACAUGUAUAAUGAUGGAACUAUGAACUAAUGGAGAACUGCAAUACCCAAUAGCAUCCAUGUAGUCCACACUACUUCAUAGAAACUGGAGGAGACAUCCAAGCCACAAUGGAACAACAACUUUCAUUAAGACCAGCUACUUCAUAGAAACUGGAGGAGACAUCCGAGCCACAAUGGUACAACAACUUUCAUUAAGACCAGCUACGUCAAUGAAGAGACUGACGGUUGAUUGGAGCAGGAUGUCCUGUGACUGUUCUCCACUCAGCCACAUCAAGCCUCAGUCACGGCAAGUCAUCUGCUCUGCCACGACUUUGAAACAACCAACGGUCAGAGAGUCGUGAUACCGAGGGACUUGACAAGCUAAAGCCUCUUAUGUAAAAAAACAAACAAGGGCCUUGUCAGCUCAGUGCCCAUCGAGACCAACCAAUGACUUGACCAAUCACAGAGCCCCAUUUGCAAUAUGAAUAGCAGCAAAUGAUAUUUCCCCCAUGUUUCAUGUUUGAGGGAUUAGAGUCCAACUCAAGUAUUAUGGGAGAGCGAGGGUUACGUAUUCUUUCUGAUGUUUGCUCUGCUUUGCUUUGGUCCUCUCUGCAGGGUAACACACGUUUCUUCUUGUUAACAGACCAAAAACAUUUUGGUCAUAUUCUGGAUUUGACGUAGGUGGUAGUGGGACUAAUAAGGAUUGGACAUCAGUUAAGGGACUUAGUCUAGGGAGGGAGAUAUUUGUGGCACGCAAGACGGAGGAUUUAAAAUCAAACUUGACUUGAGCCAACGUUCAAAUGAACUUGUAAGCCUGGGGCAUAUUCAUGAGUUAUGAAAUGGAAGCAAACAGGUUGAAACAGGGUGGAAUUUUCCCAAUAAGAACCAAUUGUUGUCUUUUUCUGUUGCAAAACAUUUUGCUACGGUGUGUACACUAAUGAAUAACACCCAGGUUUUGGGGAGAAGUUAGACAUGUUGCUCUCAAAACACAGUAUAUCCUUUAUCAAAUGUUAUAUUUAUGGUACAUUAUUAACAUACCGCUAGAAUAUAUAGCACAUUAAAUAAAAGUAUCACAAAGUAUCACUGUUGCCCAAGCCCCUGUAAAUAACAUUGUAUAAAAAAAGAUGAAUAAAAAACCCUG
RNAcentral lists this long non-coding RNA (2459 nucleotides) under Salmo salar (Atlantic salmon). RNAcentral's name for it is "lncRNA (ENSSSAG00000066394.2)". The record is from RNAcentral. Lineage: Eukaryota; Metazoa; Chordata; Actinopteri; Salmoniformes; Salmonidae.